CCAACUCUGCUCGCCUGGUUUCUGCAGGCUGGCUCCUGCAGCCUGGUUUCUGCAGGCUGACUCCUGCAGCCUGGUUUCUGCAGCCUGGCUCCUGCAGCCUAGCUCCUGUAGCCUGGCUCCUGCAGCCCGGUUUCUGCAGCCUGGUUUCUGCAGCCUGGUUCCUGCAGCCUGGUUUCUGCUGCCUACUCCAGAAUUUUUAAGUUGUGACCUUCGCUCCCCCUGCUGUCCUCAAUCCCGCUGCCCUACUGCCUGAGACUGAUGACUCCUCACCUACCUACCACUGUGCUGACAUUUUGGCAGAAGAAGCUGAUACCUGAAAUGAUCUGAAGGAUCAGCCUUGGCCAGGGAGUUUGAGCUGGUAUAUGGAUGGCAGCAGUUUCGUGGUUGAAGAUCUUUAUUUUUCCCGUCUAAAGGCCCUUGAAAUGGUGAGACACCAGAUCUGGGAACAACUGGAAGAAGUAUGCAUCUCUACCUGGAUCCAUGCCUCUCACGUGAAGCGAGCUCCUGGACUACCCAAAUUAUAGUACCAAAUUAUAGUAUGGGGCUUUUGACAACACUACCAGCCAAGAGGCUUGAGUUUGGGGGACUAAUCAUAGGCUGACUCUUACUGAGGUUAUGUAAUGAGACUCUUAAGAGCCCUAGGACUCCUGACACCAGGUUCUUGGUUCCUGGUUUAGAUAAAUGGUGGGCUUGUAAUACAGGCCUGACACCUUGCAUCCGACAUCAGUUUUUAAUGACACCAAAGAUUACUUACUGUGUGCUUGUAUAACUGGUACCUAGGGUCUUUUAUCAUCCAGCUAACAAGCUUGAAAAUUAGUUUGACAAGCACCCAACUCACUUUUGACAGGAACCUAUUUCUCUGACAUUAGCAGUAAUCCUGGUCCUCGGGGUAGCUGCCCUAAUACAGGCCCCUCAGUACUUUAAUGAAUUAAAACUAAUUACCUUCAUUAGAGAAGGAAUAAGUGCUGUUCAGAUUUUGAUGUUAUGCUACCAAUAGAGUGUUUUACAAGGUCAAGAAGAUACUGAAAUCUAGUUCUACGAUUAGAACUAGGUACUAGAAGAAGUGGGGAGAUGAAAGACCUGGAUAGGGCAGUGGUGGCGCACGCCUUUAAUCCCAGCACUCGGGAGGCAGAGGCAAGCCUGGUCUACAAGAGCUAGUUCCAGGACAGGCUCCAAAACCACAGAGAAACCCUGUCUCGAAAAACCAAAAUAAAUAAAUAAAUAAAUAAAUAAAUAAAUAAAUAAAUAAAUAAAAAAGAAAGAAAGACCUGGAUAAAUCCAAACCCCCAUAGCAGGAAAAAAUAGAGCCAAAAAUCUAAGCAGGGAGGAAAGAAUCAGAAAUUUAGGAUUAGCUGUUUCAGUUUCAGGAACUAGCUGAUGAUAAAGUUAGAUUGUAAUCUUGAGUAUAAUCUUGAGAAACAGGGAGUUGCCCUCUUGUGAUUUGCAUUGGUAUUUUUGGAAUUUUCUAUGAUGCCCUCCCCACCCCCUUGGGAUUACUGGGCUGUGGUUUUUUCCCUUAAAAACCCCUUCUUCCAGUUACUCGGGGUCGAACUCCUCCCCUGCGUGGGUUUUGAGUCUCGGCCCCAGUGCAC
Alexandromys fortis (reed vole) is the source of this 1592-nucleotide long non-coding RNA. RefSeq lists it as uncharacterized. The transcript is spliced from 3 exons. The record is from RefSeq and is a predicted model, not a curated record. Lineage: Eukaryota; Metazoa; Chordata; Mammalia; Rodentia; Cricetidae.